Molecule: long non-coding RNA, 1774 nt
Organism: Mauremys reevesii (Reeves's turtle)
Lineage: Eukaryota; Metazoa; Chordata; Testudines; Geoemydidae
Exons: 9
Source: RefSeq, a predicted model, not a curated record
CCUCACACCAGAUAAACAGAGACAGUUUAUUUUUUAUCACCAAUCUGAAAAACCAGGUCGGAGACACUAAAGCUAGUGAGUUACUCCCAUGCCAGUCUCUCCUAAUGACUCCUUGCAGAAAAGUGACUUCCCUUCAUGGACUUGUUUUGACUAGAAUUUGUGGAUGAUUAUAGCUCAAUUGUUCCUCAGUUGUGAGUCUAACUCACCCUCCGUGCAGACUCACAAACCCUUCAGUCAUGUGGUGGUUGAGUUACAGAUCGUGCCAGGUCAGUGUGUAAGCCAACAACCCUGACUGAGAGAAGAAUUCCUCAAGCACAUCACCAGUGGAAUGUGUGGGAAAAAAUACCAGUUUCCAGCAGCCGGAAUAAUAGUAAUGACAACGUGACCUUACUCUGAUUGGGAAAGUUCUUUCUCUAAUGAGCAAUGAAUUUGGCACUGCAGAAAGAGAACUCUCCUCUGUACAAUGCAUACUACCCUCUGGAGAAGUACUGCCAGGUCAUUUUGAAGCCAUCUAAACAGCCUUCAAAUGAAGAUUCUAUGCUGGAAUCUUUUGUAUCUCCAAGCAACCUGUCUGUCCCUCGUGCCAAGGUCACAGAGAUGCUCAGGGAGUGGGAGGAGCAGCACUACUUGCCAGAACAGAGAUUGCUCAGGUAAAAGCAACGUUCAUCGAAUAUGCAAAGAAACUUGAACAGGCAUUCAAGGCCAGGUUUCCUGAAAAGACUUGGUGAAAAGCAUGCUUUACUUGGACCCUUGCAACCAAAAGCCACCACUCUUAGAAAUUCAAAAACUUUCAGCAAAAUUUACCAAGCACAUUGACUUCAGCAAGGUUGAAAUGCAGUGUACAUUGUACUGCAAGGGUGAUGCGGUCAAGACACUUUUCAGCUUAGACCGCUGUGACAGUAAUGUUAUCAAAUUAUGGUGUCUUUUGUUUAAGUCAAGUGAGAGUGAAUACAGUGACCUGGCAAGGCUUUCACUUCUUUUACUGACACUGAGCCCUGACACAUGUUGUUGGUGCGAAUGAGGCUUCGGCCACAUGAACUCAAUCAAAACAUCCACAAAGAAUCGCCUGGAGAACUGUCGGGUUGAUGCCUGUCUACAUAUUGCAACUUCAGCAAUGAGCACAAAGGACUUCGAUGUAGUUGCGGUGGUGAGGUACAUUCAAAAACACUAAAUUUUCAGAAACUGGGCCAAAUUCUGUACAAGCCCCUUGGAUUCUAUGAUUCUGUGCGAUUGAAGAGAGGACAAGAGAGGACAGAAUAUGGGCCAAAGUUUGGGGCAUCAUGUCCGUGUUGUCCACAUGAUAUUCUGAAGGAAAGAGACAUUUGUCUCUCACAAAAGUGACUCUUGCAUGACAAACUUUCCAGUGCAAUGGAGUGAAACCUAGGGAUGAUAGACACUUAACACACGAUCCACCUGUGCUGCAACUGCCACGUGGAAAAUUCCCUGGUUGGGGAAAAGCUUGGAUCUUUUAAGGUGGAUCUAGAGACACAUCUAAGUACAUCUAAAAAAAGUAUGUCAGCGAAGCUAAAACUAACAGACACUAGUAGAUGGAAUUCGUGUAGGCAGCAAGCUUCAUCUGUCCUAACACACAGAAGUUUCCCUUGGAAAAGGUCUCCUUUCCUGUCUCUGAAACUGCUUAUAUGGAUAAAAGUCCUUUUAAUCUUUCCAGAGGGCAAGGGGAUACAUUCCUCCAUCACAUCUACUGAAUGGCCAAGAGAAUACUUCUGGAUUGGUUAAUGGCAUUUCUCUUUAGUAGAGUUCGGUGAUUAAAACU